GUGAAUAUAGUUUACCCAAAACCCUAGAUUGUGAAUCUAGUAAUAGAAUCUCGACCAUUCUUAUUCACC
RNAcentral lists this transfer RNA (69 nucleotides) under Zaedyus pichiy. Its description in RNAcentral is "tRNA-His". The record is from RNAcentral. Lineage: Eukaryota; Metazoa; Chordata; Mammalia; Cingulata; Chlamyphoridae.